GAAAUGCGAUAAGUAAUGUGAAUUGCAGAAUUCAGUGAAUCAUCGAAUCUUUGAACGCACAUUGCGCCCCCCGGCAGUCCGAGGGGCAUGCCUGUCCGAGCGUCAUACAACCAAUCCCCUCGGGGGUAUUGGGCCAUGCUGGUGACGGCAGGUCCUAAAUCCAGUGGCGGUGUCGCACGUACUCGAGCGUAGUAAUUGUCUCGCUUAGGGGAGCGUGUGAUGGCCGACCAUCAAAUCUUCUACACGUUAGGUGGACCUCGGAUCAGGUAGGAAUACCCGCUGAACUUAA
RNAcentral lists this unclassified non-coding RNA (289 nucleotides) under uncultured fungus. RNAcentral's name for it is "sequence contains ITS1". The stretch from base 1 to 105 matches the Rfam family "5.8S ribosomal RNA", at positions 50 to 154 of the family's 154-position model. The record is from RNAcentral. Lineage: Eukaryota; Fungi.